UCUCAUUUUCCAUUUUCCAAAUUGUGUUUCUCUCUCAUCCACCGUUUGCCACUCCUUUGCUGCCACAUAUCACCUCGUUUGCGUCAGCGAGCCAGCGUCAACAGCUGAGGCAAUUUCCAUUCAGCGCUUCAGACACACAUCAUUCAUUCCUCAAAUCACUCUCAGCGUCUUUUCCCUCGAGAGUCGUCUCUCUCGAACUCACCUUGUCUCCGACCACCGGCCAAACUCAGAUCCACCAUAUUCUCCACAGAUCUGCCACUUCCUUCACAGACUCAUCAUCUUCGGUUCCUUCUCUUUCAUUUUCACCGAUUACAUUCGUCCAAAUCUAGGGUUCUUCCCUCUUUUGCAAUUUCUUUCCAUUUUGACCGGUUAAAUCCUUCUUUGCGCCGAUCUAGUCCAUUUCCACCGAUUAAAACACCAUUCCCACCAUUUAAUCGGUCCAAAUUGAGUUUUCCCCUUCUUCUAGGGUUUUGUCGGUCUAGGUCUUGGAUCUCUGAGUUCCUUUCUCAGAUUCAGUAUGUUCUUCUCAGAUUUGGUUUGAUCUCUUCCUGUUUCUCUCUCGAUCUAUCCAUUCCGCUGCGUCAUCUCUCUGGAGGAAGCUUCGAGGAGCUCACGUCGCGCGUACGGUCUCCUUCUCGGAGCCUUCUCGUAUCAAGUGGUAUUCAGAGCAAGGUUCGAGUUGUGUCCGCUUGAGCUAAGUAUCUUGUUCUCUCUGAUUUGAGUUACUCUUGUGUUGUUUAGUUUCUUGAGUUGUCAUGAAUUUCUCCAAUUGCUUGAUCUCAAUCUGUUCGCUAUUUUGAAGUUUUCGAUUUGUGUGUUGCGUUGUAAAUCUGUUUUGAGUGCUUGUUCUUCUCUGUUUUGUGUUGAUUCGUGUUUCUGUUGUUGCUCAUGAACUGUUUGAGUAAAGGUUUGAAUGAGAUUCAAUAUGUUUGUUCGUUCUUGAAUCUGAAUUUCUGUGUUAGGUUUCCAAGUUUGAUCAAUUUGUGCUUGAGUGUGCUGUGCUUUGAGUCAUUUUAUUGAGUCUUUCAUCAUUUUUAAUCGGUCCAAAAUUUUUGUUUGAGUCAUUUCUAUUUGAGCAUCGUGUCUGUUUUGUCAAGUCAUGUGCAUUCUGCAUUGUUUUAAUUUGUCACAAAUUUUUGAGUAAUCAGCUGCUUAUUGCUUUGUUUUGUGCAUCAAGUAAAUAUGGAAUUGUAAGAACAUUCUGUCCAUCAUCAAAAAAGCUGUGAAAUUCAUUGGAAUGAGCUUGAUGGCAAGUGUAUAACCAGAUCUCAUGCUUUAAAUUCAAUUGUAUUAAAACUGUUGACAUAAGCUGGUUUUGUUUCAUUGGCUGAAAUUCCUUGCAAGCAGUAGGCCGAACUGCAUCUGUCCUUGUUUUGAGUCUUUUCUUUUGAUUUUUUUUUUCAGUAGUAGAUCAUUGCUGGAAUUUUGUGCAUCCAAUCCUUGAGUCAUUGCAAACCAUUUUUACACUUUCUAAACUGCAGAACUAAGUUGUUUCAUUGCUUGCUAAUCACUGUUUUGGUCCAAAACGAAAUAAAGGCAUAAGAGCUGAGUUAAUCAGUUAAAAGAGGCAAAUUCUGAAAAUAAAAAAAAAAUGAGGAACUGAACACGUGAAUUUUGAGUAAAAGCCUAUGAAUUGGUGUAAACUCACCUUGAAUGAACAAAAUAGCUAUUGGACAAGAUCAAUUUUGCAUCUGAAACAUUUUUUUUUCAACAACCAGUUCUACAAUUCUUUGUUGCGUUUCCUUUUAUUUGCUUUCUUAAUCUGUUUUAGAGCUAUUCCUAGGAUCUGUUUGAGUGCCCAUGUUCUUGAAAGUUUUUGUUUCUUGCUUGUCUUGAUUGAUAACUCUGGUUUUGUCCAUCACAUGUGCGUUCUGAUCUGUUGAUUAUAAUUGAAGCUUUUCUUUGCUUUUGGAAAUCUGGUUUAGAGCUCUUAGUAGAGUCUGUUUAGAGCUGUCUUUUCUUCUCUGCUGUCAGUAUACAGUUGUGUAUGUCCUGUUUUGUUCUGCCUAUCACAGUGAUCUUUGCUUAGUCUAGCCUUUGCCUGUUUGAGAAGCAUUUUUCACUCUGGUUUUUGGAUAUUGAAAGAGGUUUGUGUGCUUGGUAGCAUCUUAGGUGGUGGUUGUCUAAAAGACUCUCCAGCCUUAAACUGCCAAGGGAUAAUCUCCCUUCCCAACCCUCAUUUGUAUGUUUUACAUUUCUUAAGAGAAGCCUUGAGUGUUGUGAGUCUUGUAAGGCUGACUUUAGCCUAAUUUCUUUGGCCAUUUGAGAGAGAUAAAUCAGUUUUCAUCUAACUAUAUUGAUAACUGUUUUGGUGACUGUUCAUUGUGCAGGAAAAGCAGUUUGAUUAAUCAAAUUGGAGCAGCUGUUUUUGAAUCCAUCUUAAUCUGCUCUUGCAUUCAUUUUGGAAUUUAAAUUGUUUGCAGAAUCACUAUUAUCAUAACUGUUUUUGAAAGUGAUUGUUGAAUUCAUGGUUGAAUGAAUUUGUUGAAACCUGUGUUGAGUCUCAAUUAGAACUAUCACUUCCUUCUUUGUGAAAUUGUCAAUCCAUUUGCAUUGAGGAAAAUAGAGUACUUGAAUUGGUCGCAUACAGAUUCAGUUUUAUCAGAGUGCUUGAUUGCAUACCUUUGCAUGUCACUUAGCUAGUUGUGCAUUAGCUGAUUUGUUGGAGUCUUUAAGCUUGUGAAUCAAUUUGUUUUAAACUGUCAGUUUCUGAAUUGAAUUACAUCACUUUGAUCGAUCAGAUUUCAAUUAGCUUGGGUUGUUGCUUAAUCAGAUUGGUUUCAGCUUAGACUUAUAUCCAUUUAACUUUGAGUUAAUGAUCAUUAGCAUGUGUAUUUUGGGAUCUGGUAUAAGUUGGUGUGUGCAGAGCUGAUCUGUAGAAGCUUUGAAUUGUAGGGAGUGUUUGAAAUGUUACUUCUGACUUAUAUUGUAUUGACAGGUUUGUUGUGAAUUGCUGAUUCUUGAAUAAUUGUUAGUGUGGGGUUACUUUGAUUGAAAUUGAUGUAAAUGCUGUAAGCAGAUCUGAGCUGACUAAUUGCAGGGAGAAAUCUUAAUUUGAUGUGUGGGUUUUAUGAUAACAUUGCUGGUUGUGUAUUAACUUUGGUGUGAAUUUUGUGCAUGUAUAGCUGAACUGUUUGGAGAUUUAGUUGAGCAGGUAACAGUGAACAAUUUUCACAUGGAAAUUUUGAAAUUGAAGUUUUGAAUUGAUGGAAGUCAUGUAACUGCGGGCAACAAAUUUUCAGUUCGAAAACUGAAGGGAGUUAUCUUACCUUGUUGUGAAUUGUUGUUUCUGAUUUAGCUUAUAAGUGAUAGUAUUGAAUGGAUACCCUGCUGAGUGUAGUUUAAAUAUCUGUGCAGUUUUAGUUGAUACGAAUUGAACAUCUAGUACAGCUGAAUGCAAUUUGAGAGCAAAGCAAUUAUUUGAGUUGCAUCAAGGGCACGAGACAAAAAAUGGACCACGAGAGCUUUGUAAUAUGGACCGAGAGAGUUGGUUACAGGAGCUAGCAUAGACCACUGUCCAGAAUGCAACAUUGACCAAGUGAACCAAGACUGGACUGUAGCAGCAAGAUUUGGGCCGUAGCAUAGGAAUUAAUGUUUUUUAUGUAAUUUUUUUAUUUUUUCUAUGUAUUUGAUGGGCUUGUGUCAGCCCAAUGUCAUUGUUAGCUUUCUUUUGUUUUCUUUUGGUUUGUAAAGGGCCUCUUAUAAAGUCCAAGUUAGGAAGAGUCCUUGGUGCUCUUUCCAACACUUGGCAACUUUAGUUGUUUUUC
Vigna radiata var. radiata (mung bean) is the source of this 3767-nucleotide long non-coding RNA. RefSeq lists it as uncharacterized. NCBI's taxonomy places the organism in Eukaryota, Viridiplantae, Streptophyta, Magnoliopsida, Fabales, Fabaceae. The record is from RefSeq and is a predicted model, not a curated record. The transcript is spliced from 2 exons.